ACCCAGGCACCCCUAGUCUUCAUUUAUCUUUUAAUUUUACUUGUGGUAAUUUUUUUGCCAUACAAAAAUGUUUAAUUGUCCAAAUUUUAAUCAUUUCCUGUAUGACUUCUAGGUUUUAUGCCUUUGCUGGGAAAAUUUAUAAAAUAGUUUCCUGUGUUUUCUUCUAGGGCUUUUGUGUUUAGAUAUUUAAUCCAUUGAAAUCCAUUGAAAUUUGUUUUUGCUUAAUGGUAUGAGGAAGAAAACCUUUUUUUCUUUUCCUAAAGAAUAUCCAGUUGUUUCCAAACUAUUUCUUUUCCGUACUAUCUUUUGCCACUCAUUUCAAAUGCCAGCUUAAUAUAAAUGGCCAUAUCUCUUUGAAUCUCUUUCUCUGUACCUUGUUCAGAUAACAUAUUAUUUUAAUUAUUAUAAUUAAAUAGAAUGAUAUAUUUAUAUUAUUAUAAUAUAUUUUGCAUCUGGAAGGAAGGAAAAAAUAUUACUUACUUAAAUGAAAUUGUUGGGUAUGAUUUUAACGCAUGGUUUGAGAGAGUCCAGAAAAGUUGUACCAGCUUAUAUACUCACUAGCAGUAUAUGCAAAUACUUAUUUCACUAAUACCGUACAUAUGUAUUACAUAUGGUUUACAUAUAUUUUUUAAGUUGCCAAUGUGAUCGAUGAAAAAUAGUAUCUGAAAACUUUAUUGUACAUAUCCUUGAUUACUAGGAGCGCUGAAUGCUUUUUAUUCAGUUAUGCAGUUUUACAACGUUUUUCAAUAUUUUCAGUCAGUUAAAUGUGCUCAUGUUUCAAUAACAGCUUGCCUUAACUAUAGAGAGCAUAGUGGUUGAUCCAGGAGCAGGAUAAUUCUGAAACCAAGAACUGAAGAAACCCCCUUCCUACCACUAGGGCAUCAAAGACAGUAGUAGCUAACCUUUAUUCAGCUCUGUUCUGAAAGCUUUAUAUUCCAUGGCUUAUUAAAUCCCCCUUGCACCACUGUGAGGGAGGCAUUAUGUCAAACCCCACUUUCUAAUGAAAAACAGGGGCUCAGGCUGAUACACAAUUUGUCAAGGCUACAUAGCUAGUAAGUGUCUGGGCCAGGGUGUGAACACAGGUAGUGUGACUUUGGAGUCCCAGUGCUUCCGCCAGAGGGUCUCCUGAAUUUGCCGUAAUUUCUCCAGGACAGCCAUGGGCACUUGCUGAAGGAGUCUGUCCCAGAGUCAGGACAGCAAAGACAGAAACAGUUGCCCAUCCUUUUAAAAAGGUAGGGCGUUAUGAGGUGCCUGUGUGGCUCAGUCAGCUGAGCAGGUAAGCAGCUGACUUUGGCUCAGGUCAUGAUCUCACAGUUCGUGAGUUCAAGCCCGCACUGGGCUCUCUGCGCAGAGCCUGCAUUUUAAAAUGCCCAAAAUGCCAUGGAGGCAUAGCGUAAGUUUCUUGUGAAAAGUAGUAACAUUCUUGGUCUCUGUGAGAAGGCAUCCUCAUCUGGAAGGGGCAGGUGGUAAUCACUGUAGUUAUUUAUUUUUUUUUAAAAGUGCAGAGUAGAGUGUUACUGCUUUAUCUGAUUUCAUUCGUUGAUUUUUAAGCUGUAAUGUGGUGGAUGAAGAGCUGAUCCUAGAAUUAGAAGCAUUAGUUCUGUCAUUUCCUUAACUAGUUUUAUCUUUUAUCCACAUAUACUGAUUUUGUGAAGUGAAAACUAGUUAAAUUUUAACUAUGCCGUGUAACUAUCUGAAUAAAAAAUAGGCAGGUGGAAGUUUCCUUUUGGCUUCCAUAGUUGGCUAAAUGAAGAGGAAGAAAGGGUUUGGUUGCGUUCGGGUUAUCCCUCUUUUCUUCCUAGUUUGCCAUCUAAAGUUUAGGGGUAGUUGGGGGAAGUGGAGGGAAAGAAAACAAAUCUAAAACUAAGUAAUUGAUAACAAGCAAGUCUUAUGUGUGCAGAUGGUGCCUUGUGCAUGUGUCUAGAGUAGGGCUGGAAGUAUCUGCUUCUGUAUCCACCUGUAUGAGUAAUAUAGGAAUCAUAUAUUGUAUGAUUAUAAUUAUAUGAUCAUUAUAACAUUGAUCAGUGCCCUCUCCUAAUUCACAGGCAGCUGGAUUUAUGAGAUGACAUCUUAGAGGAGAGUUUGGAACCACAGAUCUUCUUGCCAAAAUCCUGGGUCGCCCUUAGUUCUCUUACCUGAACAGAUGGCCUACUACAACAGUUACUUACACCAAGCUCCUAGAAAUAAUCCCCGUUAUUGUGACACUCAGGAGAUCUCCAGAUACUGUUGAUUCUGUCUCAAAAAUGCACCUUGAUUCCUCAUUUUCUCCUUCUGUGCUGACAUCAUCUUCAAACUAGAAUCUCUUGCCUGGGCUUGUUUUCAUUAGCUUCCUAACUGGGCUCACCAGUUCUGUCCCCACCCCGCUCCCCCAUCAGUGUAUUCAUUCAGUAGCCUAAAUGAUCUAUUAAAUUAAAAAAAUAAUUUUGGAGUAAUUUAAGACCUAUAGAAAAGGACAAAAAUACUGCAAAGUGUUCCCGUGUAUUCUUUACCCUUCUUCCCCUAAUGUUAAUAUCUUACAUGGCCAAUGAUAGAAGCCAGGAAGUUAACACUGAUGUAGUACUAUUAACUAAGCUAACAAACCUUACUCAGUUUUCACCGGUUUUCCCAAAUAAUGUUUCUGGUCCAGGAACCAGUACAGGACCUCUCAUUACAUUUUGUUGUCCUAUCUCUUUAGCCUCCUGCAAUUUAUGAUGGGUCCUCAGUCUCUCUUUGACUUUCUUGACAUUUUUGAAACGUACUUGUCAGUUCUUUGGUAGAAUGUUCCCCAGUUUAGGUUUGUUUGUUGUUUUCUAUGAUUAGAUUGAGGGUUAUGCAUUUUUGGCAAGAAUGGUCACCAAAAUCAUGUUGUGUUCUUCACAGUACAUCUGUGAAGGGGGGCUAAAUGUCUUGUUACACAUAUUAGGUCUUGUCACAAACCUUCAGUGGUUUUCCAUUUCUCUGAGAGUAACAUGCAAACUCUUCAAAGACCCUGCCCAAUCUAGCCCUUACUUUAAUUCAUGCCUCAUGGAAGGGCGAAAACAAAUGAAAAAUCGGGGCUUGAUUCUCAGUGUUGAAAAUAAGGGAAGAGAUGUCUUUCCCCUCCCUAAUCUUAGAACAUUUACUUUAGAAACCUUGUAAGGUCUUUUGCUCUCUGCUUGAAAUGUAUGUAAAUCUUUGUGAAAGCUAAAAUAGACUCUUGCCAUCUUGAGGACCCAGGACUGUGUUUCUCAGGGACCUGGGAACCAUCUCUUUGAAAUGUCACCAUUAAGGAAGAUAGAGCCUCUAACUACCUCCCAGUGUCUGUGGGAGGAUAGAACCUCGCUGUAGCGGGUGCCUUAUUCCAAGCUAUAAAGCUACCUCUUGUUAUAAAGAGAAGUUUAUUUUUCCUUUGAAUAAAACCAAUUAGUGAACACAGAUGGUCACCCCAACUACUGAGUAAAUUUAGGAACAACUGUGUGACAAAUGGUGCUGUCAAGUCCUCUUACAUGACUAGUUGUUUCUCCUGAGAACGUGUAUGUAGUGCGUUGUGUCUACUUGGCUACGUAAAGGGAUGAGACGUCUUUCAGUCUUUGGAAUCUCUUGAUGGAUCGCUUGUGAUGGGUGUCACAUUUUGGCUUAAUGCUUCUUCAGUAAUAAAACUGUUUCUUUCUCAUCUACAUUUGUGGAGAGGUUUCCUGGUUGGAGAGAUUCUGUUUUUAUUUCUAUUUCCCCAACACUCCUCUCCAUUAACUCACUCUGGCUUUCUUUCCUGUCUUGAAAAAUGCCAAGCUGUUACCUGCUUGAAUUUCUGCUUGAAACCCUCCACCUUCCUGUACCUCUUUAUAAAAGUGGUUCUUUCCAUUCUUGACUGAGCUCAUAUAUAAUAUCCCUAAAGAGGCCCUUCUGACUACCCUACGGAAGCCACUCCUUCCAUGGACUGUCUAUCACAUCAUCCUGUGUAUAUCUUACAGAGUACUGAACACAAUCAGUACUUACUAUGUUUAUUGAUUGGUUGACUUUUUCAUAGUGUUUCCCUCUACUAGAGUAUAAAGCAAAAGGAGGGAGAGAUUCUCCUCACCCCUAAUCAGUCUGUCUGGUUCAUAGCUGAGUCCCCUAUACCUAGAACAGUGUCUGGCACCUAAUAGGUAUUCAAUGAAUAUUUGUGGAACAGAAUUAAUAAGAUGGGCAUGAUCAACAGAUUAGGGUGGUUAUAUAAUGAAGAUGUACAUCUGCUUUUCUCGCAUUUCUUUUCAACUUGUAGAGAAAUCUUAACAGACUGGUUUUAGCAGUGUUUGUAUUUGUUGAGCAUCUAAAAUGAUUAUAUGGACGAAGGAAUACAUGAAUACACCUUCAUACUUGAAUAAAAAUAGGCAUAAAUCCUUGUUUUUCAAAUAGGAAAAUCUACAAUGUUUAAAAAAAAAACAACCACUCAAAUAUUUUAGGAAAGCUUUCAUGUUAAUUUUGGCUACAGCUGGGGCUAUUUGAAUUGUAGCGCUAACUAAUUGGCCGGUGUGAACAUCAAUUAGUCCUGAAUAAAGAGCAGGAGAGGAAUGCCAAGAGGGAGGAAGUGAGAUUCGGAUCUGUAGCAAGUCUUCUGGGAAUCUUCACAUCCUCAUAGAGGAAGCCUUAGGGGUUAUGCUGACAUUUGAAGGAAGGCUUAACAUAGUGUUUCUCAAACUUGAGCAUGCAUUGGAGGGCUUUUUUAGCCCUGGUUGCUAGGCCCCACCCUCAAAGUUUCUGAUUUGGUAGGCCUGGAAAGGGGCCCACGAAUUUGCAUUUCUAACAAAUUUUCAAGGGAUGCUGCUGCUGCUGGUCCAGGCCCUGUGUUUUGAGAAUCAUUGCUUUAAAGUGUUGCUUGGCGAGAAGAAUUGAUGGAGUUUGUUUGUAACAAUCUUUUGGGAGUUGAUAAUGCCUUAAAAAAAUUGAACAAAUGUUACAUUCUUUUUAGUUGCCAAGAAAAAGGGUCUCUUUUUGCAUGUUCGUCUUUUUAGGCCCCCAUGUCUAUAUUUGGGUUCCUACUUAUUGAGUAUGUACUAGCUAUAUGCAUCUUUUCAAUUAAUCGUUAUAAUUAUGUACAGAGUUAAAUAUUAUUAUCUCUAUUUUACGCAGGAAGAAUUUAGGCUUCAGGAUGGUUUGAUUGCUGCCCAGUUGUUCAAACCUAGUUAGAGAUAAAGCUGGAAUUUCAACAGGGCCAUCUGACUUCAGGAUGAAGCCUCUUUUCACUAUGCUGCUUCUCAGCCAGAAAAAUUCAGACUAAUUUUAAUUUAAGACUAAGUGAUAACACCUUGAGGUGUUACACAGCUGAGGAGGAAAUUACUCAUUAGCUUGAGGUGAGCCUGAUCUGAUAUAGAAGGUUGGUUAAGAUAAAAAAAAAAAAAAAAAAAAAAGAGUUCCAAUGUGAAGUACAGCAUCUAG
This is a long non-coding RNA of Leopardus geoffroyi (Geoffroy's cat), 5373 nucleotides long. RefSeq lists it as uncharacterized. The record is from RefSeq and is a predicted model, not a curated record. The transcript is spliced from 2 exons. Lineage: Eukaryota; Metazoa; Chordata; Mammalia; Carnivora; Felidae.